This 97-nucleotide non-coding RNA is filed under the name Veillonella magna. Its description in RNAcentral is "TPP riboswitch (THI element)". The stretch from base 5 to 91 matches the Rfam family "TPP riboswitch aptamer (THI element)", at positions 8 to 91 of the family's 105-position model. Rfam says of the family: Vitamin B(1) in its active form thiamin pyrophosphate (TPP) is an essential coenzyme that is synthesised by coupling of pyrimidine and thiazole moieties in bacteria. The previously detected thiamin-regulatory element, thi box was extended, resulting in a new, highly conserved RNA secondary structure, the THI element, which is widely distributed in eubacteria and also occurs in some archaea. Analysis of operon structures identified a large number of new candidate thiamin-regulated genes, mostly transporters, in various prokaryotic organisms. Lineage: Bacteria; Bacillati; Bacillota; Negativicutes; Veillonellales; Veillonellaceae. The record is from RNAcentral.
AAUAAUAAGGGGAGCUUGUGUGACAGGCUGAGAGGAAGCUAAAGACUUCGACCCGCAAACCUGAUUUGGGUAAUGCCAACGUAGGGAUUAUAUGAUG